UACGUAGGAUGCAAGCGUUGUCCGGAAUUAUUGGGCGUAAAGAGUUCGUAGGUGGUUAUCUAAGUCUGGUGUUAAAGACGGGAGCUCAACUCCCGCAUGGCAUCGGAAACUGGAUGGCUAGAGUGUGAAAGAGGUAACUGGAAUUCCUGGUGAAGCGGUGAAAUGCGCAGAUAUCAGGAGGAACACCUGUGGCGAAAGCGAGUUACUGGUUCAUUACUGACACUGAGGAACGAAAGCUAGGGUAGCAAAAGGG
This 253-nucleotide ribosomal RNA is filed under the name uncultured bacterium. RNAcentral's name for it is "partial 16S ribosomal RNA". It matches the Rfam family "Bacterial small subunit ribosomal RNA", at positions 524 to 776 of the family's 1533-position model. The record is from RNAcentral.